RNAcentral lists this ribosomal RNA (373 nucleotides) under uncultured organism. RNAcentral's name for it is "partial 16S ribosomal RNA". It matches the Rfam family "Bacterial small subunit ribosomal RNA", at positions 527 to 896 of the family's 1533-position model. The record is from RNAcentral.
GUAGGUGGCAAGCGUUGUCCGGAAUUAUUGGGCGUAAAGCGCGCGCAGGCGGUUCUUUAAGUCUGAUGUGAAAGCCCACGGCUCAACCGUGGAGGGUCAUUGGAAACUGGAGAACUUGAGUACAGAAGGGGAAAGCGGAAUUCCACGUGUAGCGGUGAAAUGCGUAGAGAUGUGGAGGAACACCAGUGGCGAAGGCGGCUUUCUGGUCUGUAACUGACGCUGAGGCGCGAAAGCGUGGGGAGCAAACAGGGAUUAGAUACCCUGGUAGUCCACGCCGUAAACGAUGAGUGCUAAGUGUUAGGGGGUUUCCCGCCCCUUAGUGCUGCAGCUAACGCAUUAAGCACUCCGCCUGGGGAGUACGGCCGCAAGGCUG